This 464-nucleotide non-coding RNA is filed under the name Geobacillus sp. RNAcentral's name for it is "T-box sequence". It matches the Rfam family "T-box leader". From Rfam's summary of the family: Uncharged tRNA acts as the effector for transcription antitermination of genes in the T-box leader family. The record is from RNAcentral. Lineage: Bacteria; Bacillati; Bacillota; Bacilli; Caryophanales; Anoxybacillaceae.
AUAAAAGCGAAGACGGGGAGGAGUACAGCGGCCCGCGCCUGCAGAGAGGGAAAUCAGAAGCUGCGAGAUUUCCUAGGAUGGCGGCUGCUGGAAGGUCGCCCUUGAGCUGCUUCGUUGAAAGGCGCUGCUGCCGAGUAGAGGAAGCCGGUUGAUUGCCGUUAUGCCAAUGAAGCGCUUAAGCCCUAGAGGGCGGUGGUUGAAAAACGCCGUUUCAAGAUGCCUUUUUCCCAAGCCGGAGAUGCGGCUGUGGUAUGGGAACGGCGCUCUGCUUCCAUCCUCUAGAUCGCUGGUGAGAACGGUUGUUUCUCUUGAGCAGUGGGGAGCGUGCGAAAGGCGGUCCUGAUGCGACAGGGCUUUUCGAUUUGAGAAACGAGGUUGGGAAGCGUCCGGCUCCCUUCCAUCCCCAGCCUUCUAGGCUUAAGAAAAAAGGUGGUACCGCGAAAGCAGCUCCUUUCGUCCUUUUC